Molecule: long non-coding RNA, 4117 nt
Filed under: Sus scrofa (pig)
Lineage: Eukaryota; Metazoa; Chordata; Mammalia; Artiodactyla; Suidae
Description: lncRNA (ENSSSCG00050028864.1)
Source: RNAcentral
UGUGGUUUCCUGUCAGUCUGGAGGUCCUUGCAUUUCUUUGUCUGCCCAUAGUUUCAUGUUUGCAAGAUGCCUGGUUUCCUGCCACCUGGCCCUGUGCCCCCCUUUCUCUUCUCACACCUAGCUAUUUGCCUGCUGUACCACCGGGUCCUAUCCAGAGCCUAUACUGGUUCUAUAGAACAAAAUUAUUCACAAUUGUUUUCGACUCUUUUUGCAAAUGAUUCAGUGCUUUGGCAUAAAAGGGAAAGGCACAGAAGAAGCAUUCUUCUGGGGAUUAUCCUCUACAAACAUGACUUGUAGGUGCACCAUGAUCCCAACCUCAGAAGCAAACCUCAGGUCCUAAUCCAAGUUCUGCUUUCUAUAGGCCACAGUCUCCUUCUGAGUUGAGAAGGAUGAGGGUGGAGAACAAAACACGUGUGUGUUCUUUGAAGGAAAAUAAAAUCACAUUUAAAAAAUUGUUUGAAAAUGACUUACCUGGGAACCUCCAUAUGCCACGGGUGCGGCCCUAAAAAGCAAAUUAAAAAAAAAAAAAGAAAAGAAAAGUCACAUCUGGGACAAGAUGUUAUUAGUUGUUGACAAAGAUGUGUUUGUGUGUGUGUAUAUAUAUAUGCGCGUGCGUGCGUGUGUGUGUGCACGCACAAGCACACAUGUCCUGGUGUGUGAUUUUGUGCCUGCAGUGGACUUCUGGGGCUGUGAGGAUCCCGGUGAGCAUUCAGCCAGGCUUGGCUCAGGAAGCCUUACAUUGGGUUGCCUGACCUUGUGCUCAGCCCUUGGGUCUCAUGAAGAGGUUUGACCAACUCUAGGAUGCUCACUGUGCCCAGGUGCCAUUUCGGAGGUCUUUAAACAGAUCUUUGGGUUUAUACAUAAGUAAUAAGUAUACCUUUUAUGAAUGGCUCCCAGUUAUAUAUCACAUAACCCCUGGGGGUUAAGUCAUGAACAAGCCUGGUGCCUUUGCGCAGAGGGCUGAAUGUUACGGUAGAAAAAAAUGUAUUUCUCUUCCAAAUUAUCGCUAGUGAUUUGAGUUAACAUUUCCUUCCUAAUUCCAACUAGAAAUGAUGCUGACUCUCAGGACCACCAUCCACACCCUUCUCAGAAAUUCAGGGGAUGCGCAGUCAUCUGAGUCAUCUGCAUGGAGGGUUACUAUUUGCAGAGAACAUGUGUUUGGUGUAUACGGGGCCUGGAGACGGUGACUGUGUAAUUUCUAUCUCAAACCCGAAUGCCCUCGAGAGCAAAAGGGACUGCUAUUAAUAAUUAUACUGGGGCAAAUGGACUGAACCUGGACCUUCCUGGGCAAACUUGGACAUGUAGGCAUCUUAUUUGUCUAAGAUCUUUGAACUCUUUCCCUCCUAGUCCCUCAGAAGACACUGAGAAAAAUGAACAGAUCCCUGGAUUCCUCAGGAUCGAAGCCCUUAUAAUGUGGAAGAUCUUAGCAAAUAUUGGGCGGCUGGAUUUACUUAGGUAGUUGAUCAUGGGCAGAGAUCAUGGGGGAGAAGGACCAAGGAAUGCGCUUCCAGGCUGUCUGUUUCACCCAGAGGCAGCAGUAGGAUGUGUGGAUCAGAGAAUGGCCUUGGAAUCAACCAGGCUUGUGAUUUACUUUCUCAGGGACCCUGGGUAAAUUAUUUAAUCACUCUGAGCAUCAAUUUUCCAGAUCUAAAAAUGAUAGCAUUUGUUUCCUUAAAUGACUGUUAUGAUGAGUCCGUGUGAUGACUUGUGAGAAAGAUUCCAGCACCUUGCACACUCCUCUUCCUUGUAUGAAGGCCCGAAGGCCACUUAAUGCACAGGGAAGACAGGGGGAUGGAAAGGAGCAGUAAUAAAGGAGAGUUUACUUUAGUAGUCAUGUUGCAGACUGGUAAUGGUCAUGGCUGUAACAUACCCCACGUGUGGAAUAGUUCAGGAAAGAGAAUUGCUUGCUUAAGUUAUCCAAAGACGUUUCCUCCCUGUAUCUCCCAGAGAGAAGCCACUGGGAGAGUCUCCAUUUCUAUCAAAAGGUUAGAAAUGAGAGCUCAACAUUAGUCAGCUCUUGCUUAAUUAAACAGAGACCUUGAGGAUGGGGAAGCUGAUGGCUUCCCUCUCUUCUCAGAUGUUGGGACGCCUCAAACAUUGUGCAGAGAAGCAGAGAGAGGGGAAGGGAGCUGGCUCUUAUAUAUUCAUCUUACAUAGGCAUCAGGAGUGCAGGUGAGCCACCUGCCUAUGGCACAUGGGCCGGGUCCCCUCUUAGGAUAGAUUCUAGCUUUAAGGCUGCUGUCAGGGAGAGGUUAGCACCAUGCACAGCAUAAUGCAAGGGAUGUGAAGGAGAAGGCAGGGUUUGGAACAAAGAGUAACUAAAUCUUUACCCUGUGGGGUCUGUGCCAUGGGAUUUUGCUGUUUUUUUUUAUUCCAAAUUUAUAACAAGGUGUAAGCAGAUCAGCAGGAGGCCAGGUAUACUGGCCCAUGCAGGGUCAAGAGGUGAUUUGCAAUAUGAUUGCUCAUCCUUCUGAUAUCAAUUCAUCUAAAGUGUGGAUCCUACAUUGGUGCCUCUGCAUGGGCCUCAAUUCAAAUCGGCCAUCUUUGGGGCGGGAGCAGAGCCACAUCAUGAGCACUCAGGCUACCUGGCAGGCAUCUUCUGGACACAAACGUGCUUGGAAUUGGGUUGGUCGGAUGAUUUCACCUUUUUAUUGCAACACUGCAGCAUUGCCAUGAGGUCUUCAGUCCCUCCGUGAUGGCAGACCUGUGUGGUAGCAAUGUUCCAGGCACAGAAAUGAGACCAGUGCUGUGGCUUUGCCUCUGCAUGAAGCUGUUCAUAAUUGGGGCUUCUGCCUGGAACCUCUAAAGUGCAUAACCACAGCCGGUUGCUUGGCUCUUGCUUCAAUGUGGACAAGCCAAGGGUCCUCUUGUUCGACACUGGCAUAACCUGGCAAUGACUGCUGCCUCCAGGCUGUGUCCUGAAUGCUCUGCUCCAGGCUCUUCCCCACAAAACUACGCAUCUAAACACACGGAAGUCCUCAGCAAGCCAAAUCAUAAGCAAGCACAUUUUUAAACAUCUCUGACUCUCACCUUUCUUACCAGUAGAAGGGGAGUUUCAUGAUCACAGGGGUGUUUGCGUACUGAAUCAAAUAGUGACUCUUGCAAGCACUGGUCACCAUUGUUGUUCAAGACUCUGAAAUCCAUGAAGGCAGAGUCUGUUUUUCCUUGCUUCCAUUUCCUGAGUUUGGCAUCUGGUGGGGACUAAGAAAUAUUUAUUGCAUAAAUCAUCUACUACCAUAACUUAGUUUAAAGACUAAUAAUUAAAACACCAUUCUUUAGCUGCCAUGUUUUGUAAACCAUAUUGAAAUGUUUCUAUUGGUGUCUGUAAAAGGAAGUAAAGAUCCAAGGGCGAUGCCAUGAGUAUCCUUCGGUUAUUGGCUUUAUUUUUUAUAUGUUUGCAGUAUUUAGUAAUUUCAAAAAUAGACUGAAAGAAGAGAAAGUAAGAAGCUCUAGAGGCUUGUGUUUGUUGUUUGAUAAACAGGCAGGUAGACAGCUGAAGCAAAAUGGACCAAGGUGACCACAUGGCCAAUUGCUUCUUUGAAAAGGGAAGCCAGUUCUUGGGCCGAGACUGGAGUGAGCGUAGACCCUGGCCCAGCUCCAUGACUACAGCCAGUGCCUGGGAACAUAGAGCUAGGCCCUGCUAGGGCACCUAGAUUUUGUGUUUCCAGGAUCACAUGUUUCACUUUAAGAACUGGGUUGGCUGUCAAGUGUACCUGCUGGGUUGAUGCUAGUGCAAGCGUGCAUAAAGUAAUGGACAUGGUCUAUCAGGGUUUAUUCCUCUAACGUGCCUGCAUCCGAACUUUUUUUUUUUUUUUUUNUUUUUUUUUUUUUUUUUUUUUUUCAAAAUAAAACCAGUGUGUCAGGAGUUCCCAUUGUGGCUUAGCAGUAACGAACCCAAGUAGGAUCCAUGAGGAUGUGGGUUUGAUCCCUGGCCUCACUCCGUGGGUUAAGGAUCCAGCAUUGCCACGAGCUAUGGUGAAGGUUACAGAUGCAGUUCGGAUCUGGCAUAGCUGUGGGUGUGGUGUAAGCCGGCAGCUAUAGCUCUGAUUCGACUCCUAGUCUGGGAACUUCCAUGUGCCAUGGGUGCGGCCCUAAAAAGCAAAAGUAAAAAAACAAA